Non-coding RNA from Triticum urartu, 135 nucleotides. Lineage: Eukaryota; Viridiplantae; Streptophyta; Magnoliopsida; Poales; Poaceae. The record is from Rfam.
UAAGUACUCCCUUCGUUCGAAAAUACUUAUCAUCAAAAUGGAUAAAAAUGGAUGUAUCUAAAACUAAAAUAUGUCUAGAUGCAUCUUUUUUUAUUUAUUUUGAUAACAAAUAUUUCUGGACGGAGGAAAUACUAC